This 465-nucleotide ribosomal RNA is filed under the name uncultured bacterium. Its description in RNAcentral is "partial 16S ribosomal RNA". It matches the Rfam family "Bacterial small subunit ribosomal RNA", at positions 28 to 507 of the family's 1533-position model. The record is from RNAcentral.
GACGAACGCUGGCGGCGUGCUUAACACAUGCAAGUCGAACGGAAAGGCCCCCUUGUGGGGUACUCGAGUGGCGAACGGGUGAGUAACACGUGAGUAACCUACCCUUGACUUUGGGAUAACUUCAGGAAACUGGGGCUAAUACCGGAUAGGAGCUCCUGCUGCAUGGUGGGGGUUGGAAAGUUUCGGCGGUUGGGGAUGGACUCGCGGCUUAUCAGCCUGUUGGUGGGGUAGUGGCUCCCCAAGGCUUUGACGGGCAGCCGGCCUGAGAGGGUGACCGGCCACAUUGGGACUGAGAUACGGCCAAGACUACUACGGGAGGCAGCAGGGGGGAAUAUUGCACAAUGGGCGGAAGCCUGAUGCAGCAACGCCGCGUGCGGGAUGACGGCCUUCGGGUUGUAAACCGCUUUCGCCUGUGACGAAGCGUGAGUGACGGUAAUGGGUAAAGAAGCACCGGCUAACUACGUG